GCGUGAAGUCACGAUUAGACACUCGUUGCACAAUACGUUUAAACCACUAUUUUUAUUUCCGUUUGUUCUUCAAAAUGAGAAGAAAUUACGUUACUUGACCUCGGAGAAACGUCAAAAGUGAAUAUUCAUAAACAUUUAAAAGUUGUAGAAAGUAUCGUUUUCGAUGAUAAUCUGUAUACGAAUUUUUGGGGAAUUUCAAUAACUGCAACCGUAUAGCUACAACCAAUACGCAGGGUAAUUGAACUUUGAAACUAUUAUCUGGCUUGUAACAAUUAUCUAUCGAUGAAAAUGCAAAAAUUAAAAGAAAAUACCAAUUAUUUUUUGAAGUGACAUCGUGACGUCGUUUAUAUAAGGUUGAAGUGAAUUUUAUCUGUUAAUGCAGUAAUUGUUACCGCCUAGGUAUAUUAUUAAAAAUCAAUUAUUAUUCAUGGCAACUACAAUGGUGAAUUUUAACAACGAUGGAAUAGCGUAAGUGCGUCUUAUAUAUACAGUGUGAUUACAUGAUUACUU
Long non-coding RNA from Aphis gossypii (cotton aphid), 510 nucleotides. RefSeq lists it as uncharacterized. The record is from RefSeq and is a predicted model, not a curated record. NCBI's taxonomy places the organism in Eukaryota, Metazoa, Arthropoda, Insecta, Hemiptera, Aphididae. The transcript is spliced from 2 exons.